AACGAACGCUGGCGGCAGGCCUAACACAUGCAAGUCGAGCGCGCCCUUCGGGGUGAGCGGCGGACGGGUGAGUAACGCGUGGGAACGUGCCCUUUGCUACGGAAUAGUCUCGGGAAACUGGGGGUAAUACCGUAUGUGCCCUUCGGGGGAAAGAUUUAUCGGCAAAGGAUCGGCCCGCGUUGGAUUAGGUAGUUGGUGGGGUAAUGGCCCACCAAGCCGACGAUCCAUAGCUGGUUUGAGAGGAUGAUCAGCCACACUGGGACUGAGACACGGCCCAAGACUCCUACGGGAGGCAGCAGUGGGGAAUCUUAGACAAUGGGCGCAAGCCUGAUCUAGCCAUGCCGCGUGAGCGAUGAAGGCCUUAGGGUUGUAAAGCUCUUUCGUGGGGGAAGAUAAUGACUGUACCCCAAGAAGAAGCCCCGGCUAACUCCGUG
RNAcentral lists this ribosomal RNA (434 nucleotides) under uncultured bacterium. RNAcentral describes it as "bacterial SSU rRNA". It matches the Rfam family "Bacterial small subunit ribosomal RNA", at positions 29 to 507 of the family's 1533-position model. The record is from RNAcentral.